CCUACGGGAUGCAGCAGUGGGGAAUAUUGCACAAUGGGCGCAAGCCUGAUGCAGCCAUGCCGCGUGAAUGAAGAAGGCCUUCGGGUUGUAAAGUACUUUCAGCGGGGAGGAAGGUGUUGAGGUUAAUAACCUCAGCAAUUGACGUUACCCGCAGAAUGAAGCACCGGCUAACCCCGUGCCAGCAGCCGCGGUAAUACGGAGGGUGCAAGCGUUAAUCGGAAUUACUGGGCGUAAAGCGCACGCAGGCGGUCUGUCAAGUCGGAUGUGGAAUCCCCGGGCUCAACCUGGGAACUGCAUUCGAUACUGGCAAGCUUGAGUCUCGUAGAGGGGGGUAGAAUUCCAGGUGUAGCGGUGAAAUGCGUAGAGAUCUGGAGGAAUACCGGUGGCGAAGGCGGCCCCCUGGACGAAGACUGACGCUCAGGUGCGAAAGCGUGGGGAGCAAACAGGAUUAGAUACCCGGGUAGUC
This 466-nucleotide ribosomal RNA is filed under the name uncultured bacterium. Its description in RNAcentral is "bacterial SSU rRNA". It matches the Rfam family "Bacterial small subunit ribosomal RNA", at positions 338 to 795 of the family's 1533-position model. The record is from RNAcentral.